This 879-nucleotide ribosomal RNA is filed under the name uncultured bacterium. Its description in RNAcentral is "bacterial SSU rRNA". It matches the Rfam family "Bacterial small subunit ribosomal RNA", at positions 30 to 899 of the family's 1533-position model. The record is from RNAcentral.
UGAACGCUAGCUACAGGCUUAACACAUGCAAGUCGAGGGGAAACGACAUCGAAAGCUCGCUUUUGAUGGGCGUCGACCGGCGCACGGGUGAGUAACGCGUAUCCAACCUGCCCACCACUUGGGGAUAACCUUGCGAAAGUAAGACUAAUACCCAAUGAUAUCUCUAGAAGACAUCUGAAAGAGAUUAAAGAUUUAUCGGUGAUGGAUGGGGAUGCGUCUGAUUAGCUUGUUGGCGGGGUAACGGCCCACCAAGGCGACGAUCAGUAGGGGUUCUGAGAGGAAGGUCCCCCACAUUGGAACUGAGACACGGUCCAAACUCCUACGGGAGGCAGCAGUGAGGAAUAUUGGUCAAUGGGCGAGAGCCUGAACCAGCCAAGUAGCGUGCAGGAUGACGGCCCUAUGGGUUGUAAACUGCUUUUAUAAGGGAAUAAAGUGAGUCUCGUGAGACUUUUUGCAUGUACCUUAUGAAUAAGGACCGGCUAAUUCCGUGCCAGCAGCCGCGGUAAUACGGAAGGUCCGGGCGUUAUCCGGAUUUAUUGGGUUUAAAGGGAGCGUAGGCCGGAGAUUAAGCGUGUUGUGAAAUGUAGAUGCUCAACAUCUGAACUGCAGCGCGAACUGGUUUCCUUGAGUACGCACAAAGUGGGCGGAAUUCGUGGUGUAGCGGUGAAAUGCUUAGAUAUCACGAAGAACUCCGAUUGCGAAGGCAGCUCACUGGAGCGCAACUGACGCUGAAGCUCGAAAGUGCGGGUAUCGAACAGGAUUAGAUACCCUGGUAGUCCGCACGGUAAACGAUGGAUGCCCGCUGUUGGUCUGAAUAGGUCAGCGGCCAAGCGAAAGCAUUAAGCAUCCCACCUGGGGAGUACGCCGGCAACGGUGAAA